RNAcentral lists this ribosomal RNA (203 nucleotides) under uncultured bacterium. RNAcentral's name for it is "partial 16S ribosomal RNA". It matches the Rfam family "Bacterial small subunit ribosomal RNA", at positions 27 to 229 of the family's 1533-position model. The record is from RNAcentral.
GGACGAACGCUGGCGGCGUGCUUAACACAUGCAAGUCGAGCGGUAAGGCCCUUUCGGGGGUACACGAGCGGCGAACGGGUGAGUAACACGUGGGUGACCUGUCCCUCUAGCUCUGGGAUAAGCCUGGGAAACUGGGUCUAAUACCGGAUAUGACCUCCAUGACGCAUGUUGUGGGGUGAAAGCCUUGUGCGGCUGAGGAUGGG